CCCAGACUCCUACGGGAGGCAGCAGUGGGGAAUAUUGCACAAUGGGGGAAACCCUGAUGCAGCAACGCCGCGUGAGUGAAGAAGUAUUUCGGUAUGUAAAGCUCUAUCAGCAGGGAAGAAGAAGGACGGUACCUGACUAAGAAGCCCCGGCUAACUACGUGCCAGCAGCCGCGGUAAUACGUAGGGGGCGAGCGUUAUCCGGAUUUACUGGGUGUAAAGGGAGCGUAGACGGUUAAUCAAGUCUGAAGUGAAAGCCCGCGGCUCAACUGCGGAACGGCUUUGGAAACUGAGUAACUGGAGUGCUGGAGGGGCAGGCGGAAUUCCUGGUGUAGCGGUGAAAUGCGUAGAUAUCAGGAGGAACACCGGUGGCGAAGGCGGCCUGCUGGACAGUAACUGACGUUGAGGCACGAAAGCGUGGGUAUCGAACAGGAUUAGAUACCCCAGUA
This 446-nucleotide ribosomal RNA is filed under the name uncultured bacterium. RNAcentral describes it as "bacterial SSU rRNA". It matches the Rfam family "Bacterial small subunit ribosomal RNA", at positions 330 to 792 of the family's 1533-position model. The record is from RNAcentral.